UGGGGAAUUUUGGACAAUGGGCGAAAGCCUGAUCCAGCAAUGCCGCGUGUGUGAAGAAGGCCUUCGGGUUGUAAAGCACUUUUGUCCGGAAAGAAAUCCUUGGCUCUAAUACAGUCGGGGGAUGACGGUACCGGAAGAAUAAGCACCGGCUAACUACGUGCCAGCAGCCGCGGUAAUACGUAGGGUGCAAGCGUUAAUCGGAAUUACUGGGCGUAAAGCGUGCGCAGGCGGUUUGCUAAGACCGAUGUGAAAUCCCCGGGCUCAACCUGGGAACUGCAUUGGUGACUGGCAGACUAGAGUAUGGCAGAGGGGGGUAGAAUUCCACGUGUAGCAGUGAAAUGCGUAGAGAUGUGGAGGAAUACCGAUGGCGAAGGCAGCCCCCUGGGCCAAUACUGACGCUCAUGCACGAAAGCGUGGGGAGCAAAACAGGAUUAGAUACCCUGGUAGUCCACGCCCUAAAACGAUGUCAACUAGUUGUUGGGGAUUCAUUUCCUUAGUAACGUAGCUAACGCGUGAAGUUGACCGCCUGGGGAGUACGGUCGCAAGAUUAAAACUUAAAUGAAUUGACGGGGUCAUAGCUGUUUCCU
Molecule: ribosomal RNA, 587 nt
Filed under: uncultured bacterium
Lineage: Bacteria
Description: partial 16S ribosomal RNA
Rfam family: Bacterial small subunit ribosomal RNA
Source: RNAcentral